Potamilus streckersoni is the source of this 68-nucleotide non-coding RNA. The record is from the annotation of a GenBank genome assembly. Lineage: Eukaryota; Metazoa; Mollusca; Bivalvia; Unionida; Unionidae.
GGUGGCCUAGUGGUUAGAGUGUCCGCCUCGGAUGUGGGAGGUGUUGAGUUCGAAUCCAGGCCGAGUCA